This 203-nucleotide ribosomal RNA is filed under the name uncultured bacterium. Its description in RNAcentral is "partial 16S ribosomal RNA". It matches the Rfam family "Bacterial small subunit ribosomal RNA", at positions 333 to 529 of the family's 1533-position model. The record is from RNAcentral.
AAAAUAACGGGAGGCAGCAGUGGGGAAUCUUCCGCAAUGGGCGCAAGCCUGACGGAGCAACGCCGCGUGAGUGAAGAAGGUCUUCGGAUCGUAAAGCUCUGUUGACGGGGACGAACGUGCGAGGGGCGAAUAGGCUCUUGCAAUGACGGUACCUGUCGAGGAAGCCACGGCUAACUACGUGCCAGCAGCCGCGGUUAAUUUUU